AAGAACAUUCUGGUAUCACUCAUGUAACAGUACAGCAUCGCUUGCAGCAUGGCGUAUUGCUCAGCAAAGGCAGCCGACGACUUAGGGUCUAAACUCCAUUGAUGUGCUAUUCCCUCAGUGACUAUAGCGCUACCAACUCCGUUUGCAGUUUUAGAUCCAUCUGUAUAUACAAGUUGGUGUAGGGGAUAUUCGCUGCAUAUUUUCUCGAACUUUUGCAGGUAUCAUCCAUGGCGCAGCGUCCGACAUCCUAUUAUCCAGUAGUGUUGGAAGGGCCAUGCCAAUCUCUCCCAGAUGUUCCUGAAAUCUUAUACACGCAGGCCGGGUAAUGGUAGGUAGUGAUCUAUACGCCUGCAUGUCUGCCUGGAAAAUACUGUUGUUAGGUUUCUAGUGGUGGAAUUCCCGCCUCACAGUAUAAGCUGUUUACUGGACUGGUGGGGAAGGCUCCGAGACAGUAUCGUAUGGCGGCGUUAUGUAUGAUAUUUAAGGUUGCUAUCAGAGUUUUACGAGCCGAUGAAUAUACUACGCAGCCGUAAUCAAUUUGAGAUAAUACCAAAGCCCUGUAUAUUCUUAAUAGCCAUUUUGUUUCCGAACCCCACCUGUCUAUCUAUGUGAGGUCUCCAGGUGAGGGUACGAUCAAACGUAAGGCCUAAGAAUUUUGCGGUUUCCGUACAUCCUAUAGGUUCAUCUGACAAAAACAGUAAUGGGUCAUAGUGCGGCUUUCGUAGUCUACAGAAAUGAACGCACUGAGUUUUUUCUGUAGCGAAUGUUAAGCCAAUAUUGUUACCAUUUUUAGCUAUUUGGUUAAUCGCAGGUUGCAGGAUACGGUUUAUUUGUCCUACAGUUUUGGCAGAGUAAUAUAUGGCGAUAUCGUCAACGUAUAUACAUUUACAGAUUUCAUUAGGGAUGUUCAUGGCAAUAUCGUUAAUUGCUAUUAUAAAUAGCGUACAGCUUAGGGUAGAUCCUUGGGGAACUCCGUUUUCAAGGAUGUUUGUAUCAGAUAACUUAUCCCCAACUCUUACUCGGAAGCGCCUGUUACUGAGAAAGGACUUUAUUAAUAACGGCAAUUUACCUCUCAGAUUAAAAUGAAAAAUCUUUUCCAUUAUACCAUGUCUCCAGCACAUAUCAUAUGCUCCCUUAAUAUCAAAGAAAACAGCCACCAGGUGGUUUCUUUUACGAAAGGAUUCCUGGAUAGCGUGUUCUAAGAGGACCAAGUUGUCAGUAGUCGAUCUAUGUUUUCUGAAGCCCGCUUGGUAUGUCGCUAGGAGAUUGUGUUUUUCAAGGUGCCACUGCAGUCUGUUAUUUACCAUUCUCUCCAUUAUCUUCCCCAUACAACAUGUGAGACUAAUUGGGCGGUAGCUAGCUGGACUCAGUGGGUUUUUCCCAGGUUUUAAUACAGGUAUAACUACUGCUUCCUUCCACUCAUUUGGGUGUGAGAUUGAGUAGCAUAUCGUUUGUUAUCAAAUCAUGACCUGGAGCUGUUUUUUUUACUACUCUUUAUAGCAAAUUCUAGUUCUUCGAUGGUGAAGGGCACAUUAUAUUCAAGUUCUAGGAUUGUAUCAAAAGGAAUUUCCGUUUCUCUCUCAUUUUUAGUUGCAGCGAAAUUGGGUGGAUAAUUUGCAGACCUGCUAGUAUUUGCAAACUGCCCAGCCAACGUGUUUGCAAUUUCGGUCAGAUCUUCCGUGAUUACAUUGUGGUGGGUUUGUAUGGAAUAAAUUAUUUGACUUUUGAAUCUCCCAUUAAUUGCAUUAAUCUUUCUCCAGACAUUGUUGGUAUUAGAGCUUCCCGAAAUGGUUGUCGUAUAUUGAGCCCAGCUUUUUCGCUUGUUUUCGAGUACAAUGCGCCUACUAAUAGCUCUAGCUCUUUUAAAAGCAAUAUGGUUUUCAAUAGUUGUGUGCCUUUGAUACCUUCUGAACGCUGCCUUCUUAUUAUUGAUGGCGGCCUUAACCUCCUCAUUCCACCACGGUAGGGGUCUUUUUACCGGCUUAUUUCCAGAUUUUGGUAUGCUGAUUUCUGCGGCUCCCAAUAUGGCUUUAGUUAUUGAUUCGACACAAAUGUUAGCAGGUAUUGUAAGGCUUUGACGGAACAGUGGCCAAUUAGCAUUUGCACAGAUGUAUCUUCUAGUUACAGCCCUAUCUGUAACGGUGGUGUCCGUCUCGAUGUUUAUCGGAAAGUGGUCGCUGUUAUGUUAAGUCAUUAAUGACUUUCCAUGUGAGCCGCGGUGCUAGUAUUGGCGAGACAAAAGUUAAGUCAAGUACGUCAAACGUGUUAGACCGAGCAUUGUGGUACGUUGGGGAUCUGUUGUUGAGGAGGACAACAUUGUUCCUAGUUAGCCAAUCUUCAAUACUGCGUCCUUUAGCGUCAAUUUUUGAGGAGCCCCAUAAUGUAUUGUGACAGUUAAAAUCUCCCGCCACUAAAAAUGGUGUUGGGAGUUGCUCCACAAUGUUUUCAAGGUCUGCAAUCACCCAGUUGUCAUCUGGUAAGUAGAUGUUGCAUAUAGUCAUUUUCAUUGGUGUCCUUAUAUUAACGGCAACUGCCUGGAGAUGAGUGUUUAAUAUUAUCCGUUCAUAAUACACACCGUUUCUGACAAUGAUAGCCACACCACCUGCUGCUCUUUGCCGAUUGACAAAGUCGUUACGGAUAAUGUCGUAUCCUCGGAGAUAAUAAGACUGUUAAGUUUCAGAUGGGUUUCCUGAAUACAUAAACAUAUGGGAUUCAAUUCCUGGAGGAGCAUUUUUAAGUCUGUAUAUCGUAUCACAAGACCUCUACAGUUCCAUUGGAUAAUACAGUUUUUGGACUCGAAAGUAACGAAUAAUUAAAAAACUUAAGGACAUAUACCACAUUAAAAAUGCUAACGAACAAGUAAAUAAAAUGUUUAACAAAUAGUUGUAUAUGCGGACUAUACAGACAUGAAUAUCACAGAGUACAAAUUAUCACAGGCUAUUAAUCUGAGAAUUUCCUUCUCGUGAGGCACUAGUGCCCCUUGGUUUGCCCUUAGGCCAUCCUUUUUUCUUCUUCGGCUGUUUAGCCUCUUCUAGCGCUUUUUCAUCUACGGACGUGAUGCUGGAGUCAGUAGAUGGGUUUCGCAUCAGUAACGUCUUUCUUUUAGCGCCUCUCGAUUCGUCCUCCAUGGGCGUUUGCUCCAGAUUGGCGCUAACCCCACUAGAAGGAACGAUAAAGCUUUGUACGGGAGUCUCCACACUUUGCGGUAUAAGUUUUUUUUAUGUAGUUUAGCAUCACAGAGGUAAGCUCUUUCAUUUUCUCGUUUAUCAUUUUUUUAAUUUCAGGUAUAAACCUUGUUUGUGCCAAGGCUGGAGCUGGUGCAGUUUGCGUCAGAGCUGGAGCUUGUGCUGCAACAUUAGCAAAGCUGGUGCCUGAAACAACAGCAGUACCCACCAACCUUCUUGCUUCCAGGUCUCACAAGAUCGUGAAUUUGCAGGAUGGUUUCCGUUACAGUUUGGGCACGUAACUGGUACCUCGCAAGGAUUCCCUUCGUGUAAAGGUUUUCCGCAGAUACAUAUUUGAGGAGCUUGACAUCUUUGGACUGUAUGCCCAAAUUUUUGGCAACGGAAACAACGCAUUGGAGCUGGUAUGUAAGGUCUUACCCUUAGCCUUAGCCGCAUUUAUGGUUUUUGGAAGAUCAAUCGAAUUAAAUGUGAGGAUAUGGUUGGCGGUAUCUACCAAAUUCCCUGAAAUCUUAGUUUUAAUACGUUUAACAUCAAUCACUUUUUCCGCCUUUAGCCCUUCCAAAAUGUCUUGUUCGGUGCAGUUCAAAAAGUCUUCGCGAUAGAUGACGCCUUUUGAUACAUUCAAAGUUUCAUGUGGACUGACUUUAACAUCAAAAUUACACAAUCUUUUAGUCUGCAACAAUCGCUUAGAUUGCUUAUUUGUCGACGUUUUAAUAAAUAGCAUUCCUUUUAGUUUUUUAAUUUCAUCCACUUGUCCUAUUAAUCCAAAUACCGCCUUAGCUAUAAGAAAUGGACUUAUCUUACUAAAAUCACCAUCAUUCCUUUCUAUGAGCAGGAACCGGGGAUGAGUUUCCUCCUUUUCACUGCCCAUUCUAAUUGUACGGGAAGUCCCGUUCUCGUUGUCCAGAGUCUCGCAAUUGUCUGUGGCACCAACC
This is a long non-coding RNA of Photinus pyralis (common eastern firefly), 4120 nucleotides long. RefSeq lists it as uncharacterized. Lineage: Eukaryota; Metazoa; Arthropoda; Insecta; Coleoptera; Lampyridae. The record is from RefSeq and is a predicted model, not a curated record. The transcript is spliced from 6 exons.